RNAcentral lists this ribosomal RNA (301 nucleotides) under uncultured bacterium. Its description in RNAcentral is "partial 16S ribosomal RNA". It matches the Rfam family "Bacterial small subunit ribosomal RNA", at positions 509 to 809 of the family's 1533-position model. The record is from RNAcentral.
CAGUAGCCGCGGUAAUACGUAGGGUGCGAGCGUUAAUCGGAAUUACUGGGCGUAAGGCGUGCGCAGGCGGUUCGUUAAGACAGAUGUGAAAUCCCCGGGCUUAACCUGGGAACUGCAUUUGUGACUGGCGAGCUAGAGUAUGGCAGAGGGGGGUAGAAUUCCGCGUGUAGCAGUGAAAUGCGUUGAUAUGCGGAGGAACACCGAUGGCGAAGGCAGCCCCCUGGGCCAACACUGACGCUCAUGCACGAAAGCGUGGGGAGCAAACAGGAUUAGAUACCCCAGUAGUCCCUGUCUCUUAUAA